GACAGAGGGGGCAAGCGUUGCUCGGAAUUACUGGGCGUAAAGGGCGCGUAGGCGGAAUGGCAAGUCGGUCGUGAAAUCCUUCGGCUCAACCGAAGAACGUCGAUCGAAACUGCCGUUCUUGAGGAUUGCAGAGGAGACUGGAAUUCCCGGUGUAGCGGUGAAAUGUGUAGAGAUCGGGAGGAACACCGGUGGCGAAGGCGGGUCUCUGGACCACAACUGACGCUGAGGCGCGAAAGCUAGGGGAGCAAACAGG
RNAcentral lists this ribosomal RNA (253 nucleotides) under uncultured bacterium. Its description in RNAcentral is "partial 16S ribosomal RNA". It matches the Rfam family "Bacterial small subunit ribosomal RNA", at positions 524 to 776 of the family's 1533-position model. The record is from RNAcentral.